This 274-nucleotide ribosomal RNA is filed under the name uncultured bacterium. RNAcentral describes it as "partial 16S ribosomal RNA". It matches the Rfam family "Bacterial small subunit ribosomal RNA", at positions 523 to 796 of the family's 1533-position model. The record is from RNAcentral.
AUACGGAGGGGGCAAGCGUUGUUCGGAAUUAUUGGGCGUAAAGCGUAUGUAGGCGGUUGGACAAGUCAGACGUGUAAGCCCGUGGCUCAACCACGGAAUUGCGUUUGAAACUGUUUAACUUGAGUGCAGGAGAGGAAAGCGGAAUUCCCAGUGUAGCGGUGAAAUGCAUUGAUAUUGGGAAGAACAUCGGUGGCGAAGGCGGCUUUCUGGCCUGAUACUGACGCUGAGAUACGAAAGCCAGGGGAGCGAACGGGAUUAGAUACCCCGGUAGUCC